UUGGCGCCACUUCAUCCAUACUUCUAUUAGCUACAACAAUUUUUUUUUGAAUUUGCUACUGCAUGAGUUUUUACUACUGCAGACAUAGAGUAUUUGCUACUAGUAAAACAGGGAUUUUGUAUAGUUUUUACUACUACUAACACACAGCAGAGUAUUUGCUACUAGAAAAACAGGGAUUUUGUAUGCAUUGCUACCGGAUGAGUGCUUUCUUUGUACUAUUUCACCUUGGCAUGCAUAUGUUUAUUUCACCUUAGAUGGAAAUGAGUGUUAUCAAGGAAAUGGUUUUAGGUAAACCAGCACCUCUCAUCAGUCUUUCUUACUCAGUGUUAUCAUCUGCUUGGUUUUACGUGAUGCACUCAUUUCCCGCGAUGGUUUUGCUUGCGUUUUCCUUAUGUUGUUUCGCGUCGGGUUCUGAUUCGCUUUGCCACUAUUAUUUUUGUGGCGAUGCAGACUUGUGGUAACGAAGAGCAAGGCCGAGAAGGACUCCAACAAGCCCAAGCGCCCUCUGAGCGUCGUCUUAGUCCUCAUCUUCAGGAAGGACUCCAACAUCAAGCAUGUCUCCAUGGUUGGCAAGGGCGGUGGUGAGAAGUGGAAGUAUCUUGAGUGAUGUUGAGAAGGCUCCCUAAUUGCCAAGGCCAAGUACACCAAGAAGAUCGACACCUACAACAACCCACUGGCAGGAGAGGUGUCCGACAACUCAGACAAGUCCCAGUCUGAGGUGAGCAACGAUGACGACAAAAGCAAUGGGGACUUGUGAUGUGGCACGCAAAGCAGCAGCAGGGGGAGGGGGUCUCUGAAAUGUCGCCGCUUUCUCUCAUUGCUAGUGUCACCGAUUGAUGAUGGAUGGUUGCUGUUAGUUUAGCUCCUUAGUAGUACCUCCUAGUCUUUCAGGCGGCUACUGCUGGUAGCUAUAGUCUGUUCACCGAUUGAUGAUGGAUUGUUGAAUGUACUUACUGUUGUACCCGUGGCUGUUUAAGGAAUACUUUCGCGUUGAAAGAAAUAAAAUGGUCUUGAUACAUGCUUGUUUGAAA
Triticum dicoccoides is the source of this 1031-nucleotide long non-coding RNA. RefSeq lists it as uncharacterized. The record is from RefSeq and is a predicted model, not a curated record. Lineage: Eukaryota; Viridiplantae; Streptophyta; Magnoliopsida; Poales; Poaceae. The transcript is spliced from 6 exons.